This is a non-coding RNA of Coturnix japonica (Japanese quail), 665 nucleotides long. Lineage: Eukaryota; Metazoa; Chordata; Aves; Galliformes; Phasianidae. The record is from RefSeq and is a predicted model, not a curated record.
UAGACAACGUCUAGAAGUACUUCCAGCCUCAGCCAUUCUGUGGCUGUUGGAGACUGAAGCUGGAAUCUGUCCAUGCUGAGAUGAGCUCUGUGGCAUCUGCUGUAAAUCCUCACCAUGUGUAAAAACUGCUACCAUGCCAUGUUUUGGACUGGGAAGAACUUUUCUCUUGGCAUGUGAUGAUGAGGCAUUUCCAUUUACAGCUUUGGAAAACACAUUUCUGAACACCAGCAACAGCUGUAGUUUCUUGUCCUACCUCUACCGAAGCUGCAAGUACUUCUCAGGGCUGUGAGAGCACCAGUCGGAGAUGCUUAUACACCAAGUAUGGAGCAGGACCAUAAAUCAGAGCUGUCUGCAGGGAACAUAUACUGAAUUUCUAAAGAAAAGAAAACCUUAUUCAUGAGCCGAGCAGAGCAGCAGAGAGACACAGGACUGCAAGAAGAAUGGCUGUCAGGAGGUUAAAUACUGCUGUUGUUACUCUGAUGAAAGUGCCUGAAGUCAGUGGGGGUUUAACCUGGCUCUGAAACCACAAGUACAAUAUUUAGAGAUGCUUAGCAGCAGCAGACAGCAUUGAUUUCCACUGGAAUGCUGCAGGUUCAGUACUUAGCAAAAGUCAGACUCUGUGUUUUACCAGGGUUUUGCUGCUGCAAAUAAAUAUGGGGGUACUU